RNAcentral lists this ribosomal RNA (372 nucleotides) under uncultured organism. Its description in RNAcentral is "bacterial SSU rRNA". It matches the Rfam family "Bacterial small subunit ribosomal RNA", at positions 526 to 896 of the family's 1533-position model. The record is from RNAcentral.
CGUAGGGUGCGAGCGUUAAUCGGAAUUACUGGGCGUAAAGCGUGCGCAGGCGGUUUGUUAAGAUAGGCGUGAAAUCCCCGGGCUCAACCUGGGAACUGCGCUUAUGACUGGCAAGCUAGAGUACGGCAGAGGGGGGUGGAAUUCCACGUGUAGCAGUGAAAUGCGUAGAGAUGUGGAGGAACACCAAUGGCGAAGGCAGCCCCCUGGGUCGAUACUGACGCUCAUGCACGAAAGCGUGGGUAGCAAACAGGAUUAGAUACCCUGGUAGUCCACGCCCUAAACGAUGUCAACUAGGUGUUGGAUAGGUAAAACCAUUUAGUACCGGAGCUAACGCGUGAAGUUGACCGCCUGGGGAGUACGGCCGCAAGGUUA